AUGGUCAAACUUUUCAGUCUGCCGGGCGGUGGCCUGCUCCCUCUCGAGCCGCCCGCCGCUUAUCCCGUCUGCUGCCGCUCGCCGCCUGCCGCCCGCCGCUUAUCCCAUCUCCUGCCGCUCUACCGCCGCCCCAGCGCCUCUAUAAGAUGGCCCCCGGCCUCGCUUAUCCACAAGCGGCCGCGGAGGGGCUCGGCUGCCGAGCCGCCACCAGGGGGCGUACCGGCGAGGGGCUGCGUCCACCUUGCCGUCGAGUGCCUCCUCCCCUCCGGCCGCCCCGAUUCCCUCUUCAUCCUCCAGCUCCAGCCCAACCCCGACACCCCGGACGUCAGGCGGGUCUUCCGUCGCCUAGCCAACCUCCUGGCCCCUCGGCGCGAUCCCCAUCCCCGGCUGACACCGCCCUUCGCGCCGUUGAAGAGGCCUUCUCCCACCUCUUGGAGAGCACCUCCACCAGCGCCGGUUUCGCUCCUGCUGCUCCCGGCGGCGUUUCCGUCUCAGAGAUGUGCUCUGGACGGUCUGCCCCCACUGCUGCCAUGUGCAUGA
RNAcentral lists this ribosomal RNA (540 nucleotides) under Triticum aestivum (bread wheat). Its description in RNAcentral is "partial small subunit ribosomal RNA". The record is from RNAcentral. Lineage: Eukaryota; Viridiplantae; Streptophyta; Magnoliopsida; Poales; Poaceae.